GUGGAAUCCAAGAUGAGCAGGUGCCACUUCAGGGCCAAGUUGCUCAGGUCCCACGUGGCUAUUUCAUCACAAAAGAACACGAGAGAAACAGAAUCAAAAGAAAUUUAAAAGCAAAGAGAGCAUUUCUUCAUUUGCAAUUUUCAAAGGGACAGAAUUUGAAGGUACUCCAGGAGAUGAGUUUAAAACUUGACCCGGACUUGUUGAAAGAGCAAAGUGAAGGCAAGUGAAGGCAAAGAACAAAGUGAAGGGAUCCAAAGAUGGAAAAGAGGAAUUUUUAGAAAAAACUCCAAUUUAGGAGGUGAGAAUUUUAUUCCACGGAUAAAGCAG
RNAcentral lists this long non-coding RNA (327 nucleotides) under Homo sapiens (human). Its description in RNAcentral is "HSALNT0281378". Lineage: Eukaryota; Metazoa; Chordata; Mammalia; Primates; Hominidae. The record is from RNAcentral.